UGGGGGAUAUUGCACAAUGGGGGGAACCCGUGAUGCAGCGACGCCGCGUGGGUGAAGAAGCGCCUCGGCGCGUAAAGCCCUGUCAGCAGGGAAGAAAAUGACGGUACCUGAAGAAGAAGCCCC
RNAcentral lists this ribosomal RNA (123 nucleotides) under uncultured bacterium. RNAcentral describes it as "partial 16S ribosomal RNA". It matches the Rfam family "Bacterial small subunit ribosomal RNA", at positions 355 to 494 of the family's 1533-position model. The record is from RNAcentral.